RNAcentral lists this ribosomal RNA (253 nucleotides) under uncultured bacterium. RNAcentral describes it as "partial 16S ribosomal RNA". It matches the Rfam family "Bacterial small subunit ribosomal RNA", at positions 524 to 776 of the family's 1533-position model. The record is from RNAcentral.
UACGGGGGGGGCAAGCGUUGUUCGGAAUUACUGGGCGUAAAGGGCGCGUAGGCGGCUUUUCAAGUCGGGCGUGAAAUCUCCGGGCUUAACCCGGAAACUGCCGUUGAUACUAUAUAUCUUGAAUGCUGUGGAGGUAAGCAGAAUAUGUCAUGUAGCGGUGAAAUGCUUAGAGAUGACAUAGAAUACCUAUUGCGAAGGCAGCUUACUACGCAGAUAUUGACGCUCAUGCACGAAAGCGUGGGGAUCAAACAGG